Molecule: ribosomal RNA, 426 nt
Filed under: uncultured bacterium
Lineage: Bacteria
Description: partial 16S ribosomal RNA
Rfam family: Bacterial small subunit ribosomal RNA
Source: RNAcentral
GUGAGGAAUUUUCCGCAAUGGGCGAAAGCCUGACGGAGCAAUGCCGCGUGAAGGAUGAAGGCCUAUGGGUUGUAAACUUCUUUUCUCAGAAAAGAAUUAUGACGGUAUCUGAGGAAUAAGCAUCGGCUAACUCUGUGCCAGCAGCCGCGGUAAGACAGAGGAUGCAAGCGUUAUCCGGAAUGAUUGGGCGUAAAGCGUCUGUAGGUUGUUUAAAAAGUAUUCUGUCAAAGAUUAGGGCUUAACCCUAGAUAGGCAGAAUAAACUUUUAAGCUAGAGUUUGGUAGAGGCAGAGGGAAUUCCCGGGGGAGCGGUGAAAUGCGUAGAUAUCGGGAGGAACACCAAAGGCGAAGGCACUCUGCUGGGCCAAUACUAACACUGAGAGACGAAAGCGAGGGGAGCAAAUGGGAUUAGAAACCCGAGUAGUCC